UUAAGCGACUAAGCGUACACGGUGGAUGCCCUGGCAGUCAGAGGCGAUGAAGGACGUGCUAAUCUGCGAAAAGCGUCGGUAAGGUGAUAUGAACCGUUAUAACCGGCGAUGUCCGAAUGGGGAAACCCAGUGCAAUUCGUUGCACUAUCGUUAACUGAAUACAUAGGUUAACGAGGCGAACCGGGGGAACUGAAACAUCUAAGUACCCCGAGGAAAAGAAAUCAACCGAGAUUCCCCCAGUAGCGGCGAGCGAACGGGGAGCAGCCCAGAGUCUGAAUCAGCUUGUGUGUUAGUGGAACGGUCUGGAAAGUCCGACGGUACAGGGUGAUAGUCCCGUACACCAAAAUGCACAGGUUGUGAACUCGAAGAGUAGGGCGGGACACGUGGUAUCCUGUCUGAAUAUGGGGGGACCAUCCUCCAAGGCUAAAUACUCCUGACUGACCGAUAGUGAACCAGUACCGUGAGGGAAAGGCGAAAAGAACCCCGGCGAGGGGAGUGAAAAAGAACCUGAAACCGUGUACGUACAAGCAGUGGGAGCACCUUCGGGUGUGACUGCGUACCUUUUGUAUAAUGGGUCAGCGACUUAUAUUCUGUAGCAAGGUUAACCGUAUAGGGGAGCCGCAGGGAAACCGAGUCUUAACUGGGCGUUAAGUUGCAGGGUAUAGACCCGAAACCCGGUGAUCUAGCCAUGGGCAGGUUGAAGGUUGGGUAACACUAACUGGAGGACCGAACCGACUAAUGUUGAAAAAUUAGCGGAUGACUUGUGGCUGGGGGUGAAAGGCCAAUCAAACCGGGAGAUAGCUGGUUCUCCCCGAAAGCUAUUUAGGUAGCGCCUCGUGAAUUCAUCUUCGGGGGUAGAGCACUGUUUCGGCUAGGGGGUCAUCCCGACUUACCAACCCGAUGCAAACUACGAAUACCGAAGAAUGUUAUCACGGGAGACACACGGCGGGUGCUAACGUCCGUCGUGAAGAGGGAAACAACCCAGACCGCCAGCUAAGGUCCCAAAGUCAUGGUUAAGUGGGAAACGAUGUGGGAAGGCACAGACAGCCAGGAUGUUGGCUUAGAAGCAGCCAUCAUUUAAAGAAAGCGUAAUAGCUCACUGGUCGAGUCGGCCUGCGCGGAAGAUGUAACGGGGCUAAACCAUGCACCGAAGCUGCGGCAGCGACACUAUGUGUUGUUGGGUAGGGGAGCGUUCUGUAAGCCUGCGAAGGUGUGCUGUGAGGCAUGCUGGAGGUAUCAGAAGUGCGAAUGCUGACAUAAGUAACGAUAAAGCGGGUGAAAAGCCCGCUCGCCGGAAGACCAAGGGUUCCUGUCCAACGUUAAUCGGGGCAGGGUGAGUCGACCCCUAAGGCGAGGCCGAAAGGCGUAGUCGAUGGGAAACAGGUUAAUAUUCCUGUACUUGGUGUUACUGCGAAGGGGGGACGGAGAAGGCUAUGUUAGCCGGGCGACGGUUGUCCCGGUUUAAGCAUGUAGGCUGAUUGUCCAGGCAAAUCCGGAUAAUCAAGGCUGAGGUGUGAUGACGAGGCACUACGGUGCUGAAGUAACAAAUGCCCUGCUUCCAGGAAAAGCCUCUAAGCAUCAGGUAACAUUAAAUCGUACCCCAAACCGACACAGGUGGUCAGGUAGAGAAUACCAAGGCGCUUGAGAGAACUCGGGUGAAGGAACUAGGCAAAAUGGUGCCGUAACUUCGGGAGAAGGCACGCUGGUGUGUAGGUGAAGUCCCUGCGGAUGGAGCUGAGACCAGUCGAAGAUACCAGCUGGCUGCAACUGUUUAUUAAAAACACAGCACUGUGCAAACACGAAAGUGGACGUAUACGGUGUGACGCCUGCCCGGUGCCGGAAGGUUAAUUGAUGGGGUUAUCCGUAAGGAGAAGCUCUUGAUCGAAGCCCCGGUAAACGGCGGCCGUAACUAUAACGGUCCUAAGGUAGCGAAAUUCCUUGUCGGGUAAGUUCCGACCUGCACGAAUGGCGUAAUGAUGGCCAGGCUGUCUCCACCCGAGACUCAGUGAAAUUGAACUCGCUGUGAAGAUGCAGUGUACCCGCGGCAAGACGGAAAGACCCCGUGAACCUUUACUAUAGCUUGACACUGAACAUUGAGCCUUGAUGUGUAGGAUAGGUGGGAGGCUUUGAAGCGUGGACGCCAGUCUGCGUGGAGCCAACCUUGAAAUACCACCCUUUAAUGUUUGAUGUUCUAACGUUGGCCCCUUACCGGGGUUGCGGACAGUGUCUGGUGGGUAGUUUGACUGGGGCGGUCUCCUCCCAAAGCGUAACGGAGGAGCACGAAGGUUAGCUAAUCCUGGUCGGACAUCAGGAGGUUAGUGCAAUGGCAUAAGCUAGCUUGACUGCGAGCGUGACGGCGCGAGCAGGUGCGAAAGCAGGUCAUAGUGAUCCGGUGGUUCUGAAUGGAAGGGCCAUCGCUCAACGGAUAAAAGGUACUCCGGGGAUAACAGGCUGAUACCGCCCAAGAGUUCAUAUCGACGGCGGUGUUUGGCACCUCGAUGUCGGCUCAUCACAUCCUGGGGCUGAAGUAGGUCCCAAGGGUAUGGCUGUUCGCCAUUUAAAGUGGUACGCGAGCUGGGUUUAGAACGUCGUGAGACAGUUCGGUCCCUAUCUGCCGUGGGCGCUGGAGAAUUGAGGGGGGCUGCUCCUAGUACGAGAGGACCGGAGUGGACGCAUCACUGGUGUUCGGGUUGUCAUGCCAAUGGCACUGCCCGGUAGCUAAAUGCGGAAGAGAUAAGUGCUGAAAGCAUCUAAGCACGAAACUUGCCCCGAGAUGAGUUCUCCCUGAGACUUUAAGUCUCCUGAAGGAACGUUGAAGACGACGACGUUGAUAGGCCGGGUGUGUAAGCGCAGCGAUGCGUUGAGCUAACCGGUACUAAUGAACCGUGAGGCUUAACCUU
Molecule: ribosomal RNA, 2900 nt
Filed under: Klebsiella pneumoniae UCI 20
Lineage: Bacteria; Pseudomonadati; Pseudomonadota; Gammaproteobacteria; Enterobacterales; Enterobacteriaceae
Description: bacterial LSU rRNA
Rfam family: Bacterial large subunit ribosomal RNA
Source: RNAcentral